Molecule: ribosomal RNA, 435 nt
Filed under: uncultured bacterium
Lineage: Bacteria
Description: bacterial SSU rRNA
Rfam family: Bacterial small subunit ribosomal RNA
Source: RNAcentral
GUGACGAAGCGACGCCGCGUGUGGGAAGAAGGCCUUCGGGUUGUAAACCACUGUCGGGAGUUAAGAAAUGUAAGGGUGCUAAUAGUAUCCUUACUUGACUAAGGCUCCGGAGGAAGCCACGGCUAACUCUGUGCCAGCAGCCGCGGUAAUACAGAGGUGGCAAGCGUUGUUCGGAAUUAUUGGGCGUAAAGAGCACGUAGGCGGUUCUGCAAGUCGGCUGUGAAAGCCUUCCGCUCAACGGAAGAACAGCAGUGGAUACUACAGGACUAGAGUGCGGGAGGGGAGAGUGGAACUUCUGGUGGAGCGGUGAAAUGCGUAGAUAUCAGAAGGAACGCCGGCGGCGAAAGCGACUCUCUGGCCCGUAACUGACGCUGAGUGUGCGAAAGCUAGGGGAGCAAACGGGAUUAAUACCCCGGUAGUCCUAGCCGUAACGAU